CCUUCAUGAUGAAAUUUCCACCAUAAUUCGCAGUUUCCACGGAAGCCGUCAUCGAGCCUUUUGACGUGCGAUGAGCGAUUAUAAUUAUAUGCCUGUCCUUGGAUGUCUGAAUUU
This 114-nucleotide small nucleolar RNA is filed under the name Colletotrichum higginsianum. RNAcentral describes it as "small nucleolar RNA SNORD14". Lineage: Eukaryota; Fungi; Ascomycota; Sordariomycetes; Glomerellales; Glomerellaceae. The record is from RNAcentral.